Molecule: non-coding RNA, 263 nt
Organism: Paramuricea clavata
Lineage: Eukaryota; Metazoa; Cnidaria; Anthozoa; Malacalcyonacea; Plexauridae
Source: the annotation of a GenBank genome assembly
UUCGAGUCUUCAAAUAUUGAAUCUUACAAAAAACGAUUAAUGAUCAAUUGAAGUAUACAAUACUUUUAAAAUUAGCACUGUUGGAACUGCCUUGUUGUUCAAUAGUCCUGUCUUUGAUUAUUCCUGGACACAAAUAAAAUGGAUUUGUUGAGAAACAAGGCAGUUCUGUACAGUACUGACUUAUAGGAGGGUUGUGUUUUUUUUUUCAUUCUUGUGCCAACCACAUUGUGGUUUUCAACACAAUUUGAGUUUCGGAACAAACC